UUCAUAGCUGAUUUACUUAACCUAUCAUCUACAGCGUUUAGGAAUCGAACUGCACUUUUAAAGUCCACUAUUGAACCACUCUACAAGAAUAGGUUCCCUUCACUGCGUGGCUUCACUGUGAUUUCAUUCAGCAAUGGGUCAAUUGUCAACAACAUUGAUCUUGAAUUUGCAGCAGCAUCCGC
This is a non-coding RNA of Poecilia reticulata (guppy), 182 nucleotides long. The record is from RefSeq and is a predicted model, not a curated record. Lineage: Eukaryota; Metazoa; Chordata; Actinopteri; Cyprinodontiformes; Poeciliidae.